CCUACGGGUGGCUGCAGUGAGGAAUAUUGGUCAAUGGGCGUAAGCCUGAACCAGCCAAGUAGCGUGAAGGAUGAAGGUUCUAUGGAUCGUAAACCUCUUUUAUAAGGGAAUAAAGUGCGGGACGUGUCCCGUUUUGUAUGUACCUUAUGAAUAAGGAUCGGCUAACUCCGUGCCAGCAGCCGCAGUAAUACGGAGGAUCCGAGCGUUAUCCGGAUUUAUUGGGUUUAAAGGGUGCGUAGGUGGGCUUUUAAGUCAGUUGUGAAAGUUUGUGGCUCAACCAUAAAAUUGCCGUUGAAACUGGGAGUCUUGAGUACGGUUGAGGCAGGCGGAAUGCGUGGUGUAGCGGUGAAAUGCUUAGAUAUCACGAAGAACCCCGAUUGCGAAGGCAGCCUGCCAAGCUACGACUGACGUUGAUGCACGAAAGUGUGGGGAUCAAACAGGAUUAGAUACCCGUGUAGUC
RNAcentral lists this ribosomal RNA (460 nucleotides) under uncultured bacterium. RNAcentral's name for it is "partial 16S ribosomal RNA". It matches the Rfam family "Bacterial small subunit ribosomal RNA", at positions 338 to 795 of the family's 1533-position model. The record is from RNAcentral.